GACGAACGCUGGCGGCGUGCUUAACACAUGCCAGUCGAACGGAAAGGCCCUGCUUUUGUGGGGUGCUCGAGUGGCGAACGGGUGAGUAACACGUGAGUAACCUGCCCUUGACUUUGGGAUAACUUCAGGAAACUGGGGCUAAUACCGGAUAGGAGCUCCUGCUGCAUGGUGGGGGUUGGAAAGUUUCGGCGGUUGGGGAUGGACUCGCGGCUUAUCAGCUUGUUGGUGGGGUAGUGGCUUACCAAGGCUUUGACGGGUAGCCGGCCUGAGAGGGUGACCGGCCACAUUGGGUCUGAGAUACGGCCCAGACUCCUACGGGAGGCAGCAGUGGGGAAUAUUGCACAAUGGGCGGAAGCCUGAUGCAGCAACGCCGCGUGCGGGAUGACGGCCUUCGGGUUGUAAACCGCUUUCGCCUGUGACGAAGCGUGAGUGACGGUAAUGGGUAAAGAAGCACCGGCUAACUACGUG
This 468-nucleotide ribosomal RNA is filed under the name uncultured bacterium. RNAcentral describes it as "partial 16S ribosomal RNA". It matches the Rfam family "Bacterial small subunit ribosomal RNA", at positions 28 to 507 of the family's 1533-position model. The record is from RNAcentral.